Molecule: ribosomal RNA, 542 nt
Filed under: uncultured Glomeromycotina
Lineage: Eukaryota; Fungi; Glomeromycota
Description: SSU rRNA
Rfam family: Eukaryotic small subunit ribosomal RNA
Source: RNAcentral
GCAAGUCUGGUGCCAGCAGCCGCGGUAAUUCCAGCUCCAAUAGCGUGUAUUAAAGUUGUCGCAGUUAAAAAGCUCGUAGUUGAACCUCGGGAUCAAUGGAUCGGUCAUGCCAUCGGUAUGUACUGGUCUCAUUGGUUCUCACCUUCUAAGGAACCAUGAUGUCAUUCAGUUGAUGUUGUGGGGAAUUAGGACUGUUACCUUGAAAAAAUUAGAGUGUUUAAAGCAGGCUAACGCUUGAAUACAUUAGCAUGGAAUAAUGAAAUAGGACAUCGCAUUCUAUUUUGUUGGUUUCUAGGAUCGAUGUAAUGAUUAAUAGGGAUAGUUGGGGGCAUUAGUAUUCAAUUGUCAGAGGUGAAAUUCUUGGAUUUAUUGAAGACUAACUACUGCGAAAGCAUUUGCCAGGGAUGUUUUCAUUAAUCAAGAACGAAAGUUAGGGGAUCGAAGACGAUCAGAUACCGUCGUAGCCUUAACCAUAAACUAUGCCGACUAGGGAUCGGAUGAUGUUGAUUUUUUAAUGACUCAUUCGGCGCCUUACGGGAAAC